AACUCUAUGCUGGAAACUGCCUGGCUCUGUAUCACGCAUCUGAAGAGGGUGCUCUCAACUUCUUCCUUAGUGGGAAUUCCCCAGAACAUUACUAGUAUGCUGUUGUUUGCUAACACAUGCCAUCCAUCUUGAGUUGCACCAUUGUUAUUUUCCGUCUAUUUCUAAGUCUCUGAGAUGGGGGUGCAUCUUCCCAUUGAUGUUGGUAUAAUUCCUGCCCA
This 218-nucleotide long non-coding RNA is filed under the name Homo sapiens (human). Its description in RNAcentral is "non-protein coding lnc-DYRK2-10:1". The record is from RNAcentral. Lineage: Eukaryota; Metazoa; Chordata; Mammalia; Primates; Hominidae.